GUGAUAUUUUAUAACAUAUAUGUUACAUAAAUAGCAUGUUAUAUAAAAAAAUAUCGUUUCAUUUGAAAAGUUGAGCCAGGAGCAAGCUUAUACGAAGAUAAAAUAAUAGAUUUGAGAAAGUUUUAACAUUUAAGUCAUGUUUUAAGAAGAAAUUACAUGUGAUUUUAAUAAAUAAUGUGUUAUAUGAAAAAGUAGCAUGUUGACAGAGAUAGAUUUCUAAUUAUCACGUGUAAUUCGAAAAAGUAGCGUGGUAUAAAAGAAAAUAACAUACAAUUUAAAAAGAAAACAUAACGACGGAAAUUCUAAGAAAGAAUCAAAAUCGAAUAAAAUAAAAUGACAAAUCUUCUGCAAAUUAAGGGAAAGAUGAUCUAUCAAUAUAAAUAACGUUUGGCAGCCUAGAUUUAUCGAAAAAAAGAUCGGGUGGUUGUGAUGGUGGAAGAUGUAGUGGUUGUGGUGGUGGAAGAAAGAAAGAUGAGAUGAUUCUAAGUGUUCUGUAUCAUUUUGGAAAAUAGCAUGUAAUAUAUAUAAAAUACAAAAAUGGAUAAAAAUGUAAUUGCAAUUGAAGAAAGAGAGUGUACUCUGACACCAUGGUUAUUUUGUUGAUUCUUUUAUAAUCCAUAGUCAUCUAGUGCAUAUUCUCUUUUUUUUUUUUUUUUACAUUCAAACUCCAUAUAUUACUUUACAGAUGUUUGACAAAAAAAAAAUCACGGAUAAGAACUCUUUUCUAGAGAGAGCCAAUCGGGUACCGUCGAACUUACAUGGGAAAAACAGAACCCGCGAACUCUUGCACAUUUUGCUAGAUGAUCGGCGGAAGUAUUACCAUUACGAGGAAUAUAC
This 837-nucleotide small RNA is filed under the name Arabidopsis thaliana (thale cress). RNAcentral's name for it is "ATSL263060". The record is from RNAcentral. Lineage: Eukaryota; Viridiplantae; Streptophyta; Magnoliopsida; Brassicales; Brassicaceae.